UAGGGAAUCUUCCGCAAUGGGCGAAAGCUUGCCGGAGCAACGCCGCGUGAGUGAUGAAGGUCUUCGGAUCGUAAAACUCUGUUAUUAGGGAAGAACAAAUGUGUAAGUAACUAUGCACGUCUUGACGGUACCUAAUCAGAAAGCCACGGCUAACUACGUGCCAGCAGCCGCGGUAAUACGUAGGUGGCAAGCGUUAUCCGGAAUUAUUGGGCGUAAAGCGCGCGUAGGCGGUUUUUUAAGUCUGAUGUGAAAGCCCACGGCUCAACCGUGGAGGGUCAUUGGAAACUGGAAAACUUGAGUGCAGAAGAGGAAAGUGGAAUUCCAUGUGUAGCGGUGAAAUGCGCAGAGAUAUGGAGGAACACCAGUGGCGAAGGGGACUUUCUGGUCUGUAACUGACGCUGAUGUGCGAAAGCGUGGGGAUCAAACAGG
RNAcentral lists this ribosomal RNA (429 nucleotides) under Actinomycetes bacterium. RNAcentral describes it as "Actinobacteria bacterium partial 16S ribosomal RNA". It matches the Rfam family "Bacterial small subunit ribosomal RNA", at positions 355 to 776 of the family's 1533-position model. The record is from RNAcentral. Lineage: Bacteria; Bacillati; Actinomycetota; Actinomycetes.